CUGCUACGUCAGUAUUGUACUUAAUGAUGUUAAUAAUGCACUGAAAUCUACAGAGUUAAAAAAAUCUUUUCAGAAAGCAAACUUGAGGAUGAAGGUCUUAUGAGUAGAGAAAAAUACAAUAAAAAGGUUUACUAGGAAAAAGUUUUAUGCCAGAGUGAAGUCCACAUAAAAGAAGUAGAGCUAAUAUCAGUGGGGAAGCAGGUAACUAUAGGAGAUAUGAUCUUAAGCUAAAAGAAAAAAGAGGGAAGUAGAAAGUAGAUAAUACUGCAAAUAUUAUUGACACAAGAAAUCAUAAUGAUACUGACUAUAUAGGGGAAGUCUAUGCAGUGAGUUCUAGUCUUAGGCAAACACUUUGGGUUCUUGAUUCUGUUUUAACUUUCCACAUGUGUCCACAUAAGAUUUCC
Molecule: long non-coding RNA, 404 nt
Filed under: Nicotiana benthamiana
Lineage: Eukaryota; Viridiplantae; Streptophyta; Magnoliopsida; Solanales; Solanaceae
Description: long non-coding RNA (NBEN_LNC022410)
Source: RNAcentral